AAGGAGUCUAACAUAUAUGCGAGUUUUUGGGUGUCAAACCCGUACGCGUAAUGAAAGUGAACGGAGGUGGGAACCCUCUUCGGGGGGUGCACCAUCGACCGGUCCUGAUGUCUUCGGAUGGAUUUGAGUAAGAGCAUAGCUGUUGGGACCCGAAAGAUGGUGAACUAUGCUUGAAUAGGGUGAAGCCAGAGGAAACUCUGGUGGAGGCUCGCAGCGGUUCUGACGUGCAAAUCGAUCGUCAAAUUUGGGCAUAGGGGCGAAAGACUAAUCGAACUAUCUAGUAGCUGGUUCCUGC
Molecule: unclassified non-coding RNA, 295 nt
Filed under: uncultured fungus
Lineage: Eukaryota; Fungi
Description: partial contains 5.8S rRNA, ITS2 and 28S rRNA
Rfam family: Eukaryotic large subunit ribosomal RNA
Source: RNAcentral